UUUUUUUUUUAGCAUUGGAAUCUAUAGAAGAAUUAACUUUGGAAACAUCCCUAAUAUAAACAUAUGAACAGUAAAAAUUUUUGGAAAAUAUUUCAGACAUUCAGGAGUUAUAAAUAUCCUCUAGAGGUUUAUUUUUCCAUUUCACACCUACUAUGAUAUCUCAUUAUAUUUAGGGUUAUUUUAAUUAGCGAUGAUGUGUUUGGAUUAGGCUCUUACCUAACACUUAUAAUGAAAUAACUGCAGAGAACCCUUCCUACCAAAAUGACUAUAAAAAUGGGUCCCAGAAACAUACCUUGAAUCCAGUAUGCUGUUUCUUGGUUUGACUAACUGUGUGAUAAAAUGAAAACCAUGUCAGUCUUAAAUCCUAGUUUACAUCUCAGCAGAAGGAUUGCAGUUGACAGUCUCUGCCCACCCGUGGGCAGCAGCACUGCAGAGGUACUGAACAUGCACGCAGAUUCACUGGCACACAACUCCACACACAUAUGGUAGUACACAGGAAUUUUUUCUUGUAAUAAGGGAAUUCUGCAUGAUAAAUCCAUUAAAUUCCAGAUGGCCACUUGGGAAAAACACAAUUCUGCUUCUAAACAGUUUGAGAAUUGUAAAGGUAAGUGAAACUUGCUGCUUACACCAUAAGACUGAUGUCUGUGAAAGUGAAGUAUUUCUCAGCAUGCGCAAAUGCAGCUACAUCUAUGAUAUUACUUCAAUGAAAUGAUAAAUUUCAGACCACCCUAGGGAGUGGAGAAAUGGAUUCCAUUCAAUUUCAUCUUUUUAAUAACAGAUUGGACAUAAUACAACAGCGAGAUGAUUUUGUUAUCCGGUACUUGUAGGAGGAGGUAAAAUUUUCAGUUCAACAACUCUGUUAGUUACUACCAAAGUGUUGAAAUAAAAUUAUAUUGUCAUACUGAAUUGCUUUUGUGUGUUGUUGCUUUCUGUCCCCUUACUUGGUUCUCUUCUUAGGGGGCAGAAGAAAGGAUAGAAGAGUAAUCUGAGUUAAGAUAAUGACUUUACUAAAUAUCAUACUCCAGCACUCCAUGUCUCAGGACUUUCAGGGAGCAGAAGUGAAUAGAAAGACUCUGAGGUUUAUUGCUCUGAGGUUUAUUGCUCUGUCCUUUGCCUUCUAGCAUCAUAGCUGAAGACAAGGAAAUAUUGUACUCUAAGAACAUAAUGGCAAAUCUCUUUCCUAGAUUGUAAAUUUAUGCAAAACUGACACAUUUGUCCAUUAGAUAAACAUUUUCCACAUUUUGGAAAGCAUAUUGGUGGAUUUAAUUUUCAUCUGCUGUGUGGGAAGUGGGUUCACAGGAUGCAUUUGUAGAAGAACUAGCAAUGAAGAAGGGUUUUUGGCUUGCUGACUACAGUUUUCUGCCUCUAUUAGCAAUCAUGUCAUAUAAUCUUCCUUAGUUAUUUGUGAAGCUUCAACUUGCAGGUUGAAACUCGAUGAGUUUAUACCUCCAUUUCAAUUCCCUGUGAGGAAAGAAAUCUUAGAUACUGACAGUACCUUGUUUUGUUCUCUUCUGGGAUGGUUACUUCCAGUUUAGUUUCCUGAUAAAAGCUUGAGUUAGGGUCUUUCAGCUUUCCAAAUUACUAGUGUCAUGUAGGCCAACACAGAAUAUCAAGGAAUCUACUAGAUAGAAAACAGUGAGACAGGAAAUCCCUGACUUUCUGUUAGCCUCAAAUAGCUCAUCUUUACCCCCUCUGUCUUUCACCUCCUUGUGUCCCUGAGGAUGACACCCAUUACUGAAGUGUGCAGAUGGACUCCCACAAGCCCUAUAGUGCCAACUCUCAGCACCAUACUCCCUGGAUAUCACUUGCCUGUGGGAAUUCACUACCAAGAUGCUAAAACUGUCUUUUGCCCACAUGACUUACCACUAUUGCUUCCAGCAGGACCCAUUGCCCUGGGGUGAUUUUGAGAUACAUUUUACUUUAAAUAUUUAAACCUGAAUCAAAACUACUUUUUUUUUUCUUUCUCUCUUACCUUAAGUUUAACCA
This is a long non-coding RNA of Taeniopygia guttata (zebra finch), 1986 nucleotides long. The record is from Ensembl. NCBI's taxonomy places the organism in Eukaryota, Metazoa, Chordata, Aves, Passeriformes, Estrildidae.